AAUAGAUACCCAGGUAGUCCACGCCGUAAACGAUGAGUGCUAAGUGUUAGGGGGUUUCCGCCCCUUAGUGCUGCAGCUAACGCAUUAAGCACUCCGCCUGGGGAGUACGGUCGCAAGACUGAAACUCAAAGGAAUUGACGGGGGCCCGCACAAGCGGUGGAGCAUGUGGUUUAAUUCGAAGCAACGCGAAGAACCUUACCAGGUCUUGACAUCCCAUUGGCCACUAUGGAGACAUAGUUUUCCCUUCGGGGACAACGGUGACAGGUGGUGCAUGGUUGUCGUCAGCUCGUGUCGUGAGAUGUUGGGUUAAGUCCCGCAACGAGCGCAACCCUUGUUCUUAGUUGCCAUCAUUUAGUUGGGCACUCUAAGGAGACUGCCGGUGACAAACCGGAGGAAGGUGGGGAUGACGUCAAAUCAUCAUGCCCCUUAUGACCUGGGCUACACACGUGCUACAAUGGACGGUACAAACGGUUGCCAACCCGCGAGGGGAGCUAAUCCGAUAAAACCGUUCUCAGUUCGGAUUGUAGGCUGCAACUCGCCUACA
This 544-nucleotide ribosomal RNA is filed under the name uncultured bacterium. RNAcentral's name for it is "bacterial SSU rRNA". It matches the Rfam family "Bacterial small subunit ribosomal RNA", at positions 777 to 1320 of the family's 1533-position model. The record is from RNAcentral.